Molecule: long non-coding RNA, 2580 nt
Organism: Physeter macrocephalus (sperm whale)
Lineage: Eukaryota; Metazoa; Chordata; Mammalia; Artiodactyla; Physeteridae
Exons: 4
Source: RefSeq, a predicted model, not a curated record
UCAGGGUCCAAAAGAGAGGAGAUGGGGAUUUAGCAGAAGACUUGGGGUGCAGGUGAGGUGCACUGCGAUGGAGAGAGCUGACUGGACCCUGAUCAGGUGUCUUUUGAUAUGUUAAUGAUACGACUUCUGGAACCACCUAUGACUGGGGACUCUAGUUGCUGGGAGAACCAACCAGGUAAUUAGAGGGUUGGAACUUUCAGUGUCGCCUCCCAGCCUCGGGGAGAGGGGCUGGAAACCGAAUCAACUGCCAAUGGCCAAUGAUGGACUCAAUCACGCCUGUGCAUCGAAGCCUCCAUAAACACCACAAGAAGGUUCGGGAGCUUCCAGGAGGACUCUCUGAGAAGGAAGACAUCCUCGGAAGCUUUGAAUCCCUCAUGCCCAUUUGACGGAAAAGGAGAAGCACUGAGAAGUGAGAUCACACGGCGAGCCUGUAAGACAGAGGUCCCACCUGAGCCCCAUCGCCGAGUCUGCAGGGACCUGCCUCCUUCCAGUAAAAUCCUGCAUCGAGAAACCUGGGCUUGGAGGCCAACCUGGUCCAACCAUUUCUCAAGAAAUAAAUGCACUGGUUCCUUUCAGACAAAGAGCACGGCUCUGAGGGGUUUCUGGGCUUUCCUGCCAUCCUGUCCUUUCAUCUUGCACUUUGCAGAUGUACAAGUCUCAAAGCUCCCUCUCCUUACUGAAAAGGGUGGGUCUGAGGAGGGUAAGGGCCUAAAUAAACUGACAGGCACAGAAAUUAGGGAUCAUGGAGCAGCUGGGACGGAAGGAGGGAGGAACCCCUUAAGAAGCAUGUUCCCUCCACAGCCAGCCCCCAGAGAGGGCAGCCCGCAAAAGAAGCAUCCAAAAAAAGAAGCACCCACUAGGGAAGGACACCCAGUAUAUGAGUCCUAUGGUGGGCUGGCCUGGGGGCUGCAAGGGGCUUUUCUCUUUCCUGGCUUGAGUGAACAGGGGGACAUGUGAGACACACUUCUUGGAAGCCCAAGCAUCACAGCAGGCCUUGCAGCUAAGAGAAGUGGCCAAGGGCACAGAGGAGAAGAACAGGCCAAGAGCUGGGAGUCCUGACUCUGUGCUGAGCCUGUUAGACCUUGAGAUACUCAAUCCCAGUCUCUGGGUCUCAGUUUCCCCAUCUGAAAGCAAGGGGGCUGGAAGACACCAUCACUCCUGUUUUCUAUUUCGCAGACAAGCCACUAAGGAGAGGUUUUGCCCUAGCCCAUUCUCGCCUGAGGGAGGACUCGGCUGCUUCCGGUACAAUCUCAAAUCUAGAUGCAGUGGCUUUCUGGCCCAGCCACUCCUCAAGAAAUAAAUGCACUGGUACUGUAGGGAAGAGAAGGAUGGAGAGCGUCCCCACUGGCCCGGCUCUGUGUGGACUGAGGCACCGGCUGGGAAGGACACCUCCGUUCCUGCUGUAAUUUGCCGAGAGGGCCAAACAGCAUGUCUUGGGAGGCCACUGCCCCCUCUGAUUUGGGUACAAACGACAUCGCCAAAGCUUGGAAGCGUGAACCACAGCAGAGACCCAGAUCCCUGCUUCUCCGUUCACGAAAAGGCGAACGCAGACCUCAAAGGGCCCGUAACCUCCAUACGGUCCUGUUAAAAUUUCCAAGUCUCCUAAUGUACGCAAAUACCUUUAAAUCUCACAAUACAAAUAAGGCCAUUCAGGGCAGCAGAACAAGUGCCCCGUGACCUCCUCAGCUAAGUCAUAAAACUUUUGGGCUGGAAUUCCUUUAGCUGCAACAGAGAGAUUGCGUUGAAUUAUCCAGUCUCCCAAGUUGCCCCGACCUCGAUAAUGAUGUACUGCUGAGUCAACAGGCCCUGGGUAAUUAAAAUAUUAAAAUAAUAUCCAUGGGUCCUCGAUUGGUUAUUUUCUCUCCCGUGACAGGUCUGUUGAUAUUGAUAAAGACUGUGGAUAUUGACAAAGGACUAUCAAUACACAUCUCCGUGGCUCAAGUGGAAACCUUGCUCUAACAUACGUACUGGAACGGGGCACCAUGUGCCUGUGGGCUGACUUGGGGCACUGAUCCAGCUUUCUUGCCUCUUUAGCCAACAGGACUAAAUGUUUUCUUUCAAAGAUGUUAUAAAUGGGGGAAUAAGGAGUUUAGUGGAAGACCCAGAAAAAUAAAAGCUGUCCAGCAGCACCAGGGGAGGCAGGAACAGCAGGGUGAAGGAUGAGGGUCCCCUUCACCUCCCCUCUGCCUUCCCCACAGACUCAAAGAGCAAAAUGGGGGUCCAGACCGGAUAUGGGACCCUGCUGUGGCCUUCCAAAUUCUCCAGAUAAGUCCUUCAGAGAAAUAAGGGUGGUUUGUUUUCCCAGAGAAGCAGCACAUGUGAGCCAGUGGUGGAGGGGGAAAGGGGGGGGUAAAAGAAAACCUUUGCCAGAGCGCGCAGCAGGCGGAGCCCCAGCCGGGGCGUCUCUGAUGGAAAGGGUGGCUUGAUGUGGGUCCCCGGGUUCCUCUGAACACGCUCAGGGACAGGCGCGGAGCAGCGCUGCCUGUGUUUGAAGGUAUUUCGCUACAGCAAACACCAGGCGGGGAGGAGAAAAACCCAAACCACUUCAAGUGGAUUUCAAUUUUGAAAGACGCCACAUGA